RNAcentral lists this transfer RNA (64 nucleotides) under Anaplecta sp. 3 ZQW-2020. RNAcentral describes it as "tRNA-Cys". The record is from RNAcentral. Lineage: Eukaryota; Metazoa; Arthropoda; Insecta; Blattodea; Anaplectidae.
GGUCUUAUAUUCAAUAAUGAUCUUAGAAUGCAAUUCUGAUGGAGCAGUAAUCCUGCUAAGGCUU